Non-coding RNA from Rattus norvegicus (Norway rat), 4570 nucleotides. The record is from RefSeq and is a predicted model, not a curated record. NCBI's taxonomy places the organism in Eukaryota, Metazoa, Chordata, Mammalia, Rodentia, Muridae.
CUGGCCUACCUUGACUCUAUAAAGUUGGUCAAGUGACUUCCUCUGUGUACUGCCUGUCCAUAUUCGAACUAUGCACAGUGUCAGCAAUUGAAGCAAGGGCAGUCCUUUGCCUGGUGGCAGAUUUGCCACACAGGAGCAAACUUCACAUGGAGGUUCUUUGAUGUCCAUCAACUUCUUACAAAUAGAGUGGGGGUGCUGCCAGGGGCAGACAUGUUUCACGGUCAUAAAAAGCCUUAUGUUAAUAAAAUAUCUUAAAUGUUAUUGUCUGUAGAUCUCUGAAGUAUUUGAAGACCUUCUAUCAACCUAAAGUACAUCUGAAUAGGCCCAAGGGUAGCGCCCCUUCGGGACCCUGAAUAACUGGGUCCCCGCUGGCGGGGACAAGUGGCGCCCGAACACAGGGACCCCGAAGUACGGCCAACUACCGGACGACGGAGACAGGAGAUCCGCGGAGAGAUUGAGGACUCUUCAGGCUGCAUCGCUUGUGCAUCGUUGGAGAGGGAGGUAAGACCGGUCGAAUAAGUGUCGUCCCAUCGCCAUGGGGAAGGUAUUGUCUAAGGAGGCUUGAUUCAUAGGAGAGAUCAAGCGCUCAUUCAGGGAGAGAGGAAAGAGUUAAGAAAAAGGAUUUAAUCAAUUUCUUUUGUUUUAUUGAUGAAAAGUGUCCCUGGUUAAUUUUAAGUGAAUUUUUUUUUGUCUUUGUGUGAGAAACUUGUCCUUAGUUUAUAAUUGAAGGAGCAGAAAUUAAUUCCUAUAGUUGGAAUAAGGUUGGAAAGUGUUUAAAUGUCUUAUUGUAUGAAAAAGGAUCCUAGGUGGUUCCGAUUCAGGAGGUAGUGUCUGUGUCUUUGUGUCUUUGUGUUUUGUGCCGGCUGAACUCUGGGUCUGUAUUUGCUCUCGAGUUCUGGAGUUCUGGAGUUCUGGUUUUGCAGCUGCUCCCAUCUCAGGCUGAGAGGGAGGAUCGUGUCUCAGGAGAGACGCAAAUGUGAGUGGUAGAUGUGCCAGGGACUCACCGAUUGCGCUGCCCUGGGAGUCGUCCCAGGAGGUAAGAAGGGACCCCAGGGACGCCUGGGAGAUUCCUGUCUGGGUGACGGUGAGGAUUCGGCAAUUCUCAUGGAUUGGAGAAAAGACCCGCCUUUCCAGCUGUCUGUAUUUCCAGAGUGGUCCUUGUCUGUGUGUCUUAGGUCUUUGUUUUGUGUUACUUGUGACUUUGACAAUGGGAAGACUCUGGUUGGGAAGGAGGAGUGAUGUGGAAUCUGCUCCAGUUCAUCUGUCUUUGCUGAGCUCAUGGAAGCUCCCAUCUGAAUCAGCUCAGUUUUGUGGCAAUCUUGUGGCGGCCGCUUGUUUUUGUUUUGUGCGCACUUUUGUUUUUUUGUCUGUUAAUCUUUUGAUUGUCUUUCUAUGUGACUAAAUGCUUUUGCCCUCUUCAGCAGACCUCUAUUUUCUGGACUCUCUUCUUGUUUUCUCACCAUCCCACUUGGGAUGCUUGUUAGUGGCUGUUACAGGAAAUCUAUAAUGCUCACUUGAGUGUGCUCAAGAAACUAGAAUUUCAGGUUUGCCCUGGGUUCCUUUGGGAUAGGUGUGGGGAUAGGCUUGAUUUCUAUUGCAAAUGAUGUCACAUUGCAUAUGUUAGUACUCCUAACACUUCUUGGGUCUGUGCCUCUGGGAUCACAACUUGUAUAAGUUUAGAAGUUCUAAAAGGCAGUCAUGACCUUUGUGUAUAGGUUCAGAUAGUGUCCAGAUUGGAAUCCUGAUGCUAAAGACUUAGUAAGACACAAAAGAGAGUUGAGAAUUACUUAGGGCUAUCUGAAGGCGGAGUCCAGCUAGGUGCUGCAAGGGCAUCUGCUGUUGCCCUGCAACACAAGGCUUAUGGAGAUAAAGCUUCAGUUGUGUUAAUACAGAAUUGUAGGCUAGAGUCUUGAAAGUAUUUAAAAAAAAAAAAAGAAAGAAAGAAACCUGGUAAAACAUAUCUUAUUCCAAACAGCAAUUAAGUUGGUUAUUACAAAAUACUGAUAUUUGGCCUAUCACAUAUACAAAUUUUUCAGGCGAAGUUGAUAAUUUUACUCUUUGCAUGCUUUUGUUAUUUCCUAUAAAUUUGUGCAUGCAACCCAUAGAAAAUGAGCUUACUGUAUUUAUAGGUGGUUCAUCUAAUGAAAAGGCUACAUGUAUGAUUGUUUAUUCUCUUGAGUUUCCCCUGCUUCAGCACAGAUUAUUAAUUAACUGUAGCCAGUUUUUAUGUUAAAAAAAAAAAAAAAACAAGCUUUCAAUUCAUAUACUGAUAGCCAAUGUGCUGCUUGUGGUUUACAAUUGAUUUCAAUUACUUAAUGCUUUAUUAAAGGCAGGUUUUCUACAUAAAAUCACUGAGUGAUGAUUUCAGUGUGAAUGUCUGACAACUCACUGUCCUUUCAAUGCUCUGGCUCAGACAACUAAACAAAACCAUAGACCCAGCUCUUUGAAAAUGAUAAUGGAGUUUAUAACACUCCCUCACAAAUAGAGGAAGACUCCACUUGCUUACUUUCAACUCCCAUCCUCACCUUGCCAGCUCAGGGAUUUCUAGUACGACUGAAUCUGGAUGCUUAUGUUUAGGUAAAUAAAGCUGGUGAGGGGCUGGAGUGAUGGCUUAGUGGUUAAGAGCACUAAGUACUGUUCCUUUAUAGGCCAUUUAAGAACUCAAACUGGAUUGCCUGGACCCCUUAGCAAGGGAGGACAAUAAUACCAGGCAGAUUAUAGGCCUUACAUAGGAACAAUUAGUCAAAAAAAAUCUCAUUCUUUAUAUCACCAAAACAAUAAUUUGGUAUAAAAGUCAAUUUAUAAAUACAAGUGCUCAGUGUCCUCAAUUUAAUCCUCAAGGACUUAUCUUAAUAAAUAAUAUUUUAACAAUAUUUUAAUAAAUAAAAAAGGGGAGUUAUCCCUGUAUGCUAAAAUAUGCUCCUUUUAUUUCAAUUUUAAAAUUUGAAUGCCAAGGAAUACUCUGAGUUUAUGGCAUACUACAACUAGGCAUACUUCUGCCUAGGUGAAAUAGAAAGAUCCACAUAUUGGCAUGAUCCUGUUCAGAUAUUUUAUAUGGGAAAGAGGGAAUCUUUGUGUUUUUUCUACAGGAUGCUACAGGAGUGUGCCAGCUGCCUGAUGGCUGGUGAGACUUGCUGAUCCUGGGAGCAUGAAGAUUCAGCUCUCCUGGUUCGGGUCCCUGGAGUCAUUCCUGUGUCCUUGGAGGAAUAUGGAGGAUUCCCACUCAUCUUUUGUCAUCACAGAAAUUCUGGCGUUGCUGCAGUCAUUGUGUCCCGUCCCACCACGGCCUGCGCUCCGACCCUCUGUGCACUGUUGCUUGGUGGAAGCUGCUGUGGACUGGGGAACUCUGCCCUGGUUUUGCAGAUCUCAGACAUGGUUCCAUUGCCUGCUGGUUGUUCCAGAGAAGAAUGACCGAUCCUGAACUGUCCUGGGAAAGACCUUGGCAUUUUCGCUGCUAUUGUAGCAGCCAUUACUGCUGCAGCCAUUGUGUCUGCAGUGUCUGGAGUUACUCUCCCCCAAUCUAUUGUUAGGCAAGCACAGUGGGUGAACUUUCUGGAGUAGUUGCUAACAAAUUGGGAAUUCUAAAUUUUAUUACAGGAGAGGCUUGACUAGGUCCUUGGUGGUAUGGCCAUAGCAGCUGAGGAGAACCAGAUGAGGUGCCCAUUACUUAUUGGGAGAGGCUCAAUUUCCACAAUUUCUUAUAUUAAUGCCAUCUGGCUCCUAUUCUUUCGCCCCUGGGCUCAAGUAAAAGGAAUGAGAAGAUGAUCCAAUGUAGCUAUCCUCACGGACGGGCAACUUCCUCUGACCCUUGACCAAUCUAAGACAUGGUGCCUUGGGGGCGACAAGGUGAUCCUAUGACAGAUAAGGCUGGGGUUUGAGAGGUCGAUCCUAAGACAGAGGUGGCUACACCCCGUUUAAAUGUACGGGCCGGUCAAAUGCUCCUCUGCCCAGUUUCUCCCCCAAUAAACACACACGUAUAGCCCAGAACGGUGUGUUACAGCAUAAGUUCAUUCCUAGCCAUUGGGGUGCAGUCCUAACUGCCAGAGUGGCUCACCAUGGCCGAGCUGGGCACUCUGUGAGGCAUGUCUGAUCUCUCUCAGACCACUACUUCCACCUAAUGGUUUUUUAUAAAAGAAAAAUGGGGGAGACCAAUGGUCUUUCUGAUAUCUAAAAAAGCUGAUCCUAAUGCAAAGGGUCUAGAGUAGACAAAUAAUCUAGGUAAAAAAAUGAAUAAUUACAUGACAAUAGUCACAUGACUCAAAUGUAGAUUUAAAAACAUACAAGUCUUCAGCAUACUACCCUGAAUGUGCUUGAUUUUUGUCUGAUCUGGGAAGAUAAGGAUAGACACAUGAAAGAAAGGGGAACAGAGUAAGUACAUAGAAAUAAAUUCACACAUCUAUGACUAGUAGAUUUAAAAAAUUCAAUGGAGAAAGAAGUCUUUCAAAUACAUUAUCCUGGAGUAUCUUGGGUUACUUAUAUGAAGGAAAAGAGUGAACUCAGAACCCAUUUCUAAUAUGUAUUGUAAGAACUAAAUUUUCAUUUUUAGAUAUAUAAAUUAUUUUUUGUAAAC